UUCCCUUCUUUUUUCUUCUUCUCUCUUUCUCCUAUAGUGGUCCGCCAUCAGCUUGGUAUCAGAGCAAGAGCUUUGCCUUUGUCCCCAAAGCUCCUCCAUCUUGCGGCCCUAUAGCUGGUGCUAUUACGCCGGUCACCGGAUCUUCACCGUCUCUUGGGCUGUGCCCACAAACCCAUCCCCGUCCCCGCCAUCUUCCACCCCCUGUUCUCUCUCUCGGUUCUCACCAAAAAAAUCAAAGGGGAUAAAAGCCCCUUCAUCAGCUCGUCCCACCCGUCAUCGCACCCGCGACCACCACUGCCACCCGCUGCCACGCCACCGGCGGCUCUUCCGCACCCUCCCUGAUGUGGAAUCCCUCUCCCAGAAGUUGAGUCCGUAGCCGUUCGAGGAUCAAGCGCCUUAGGAAAAAAAAGGUGCCUGUUCAUCUGCUC
Molecule: long non-coding RNA, 428 nt
Filed under: Phoenix dactylifera (date palm)
Lineage: Eukaryota; Viridiplantae; Streptophyta; Magnoliopsida; Arecales; Arecaceae
Description: long non-coding RNA (PDAC_LNC022698)
Source: RNAcentral